Molecule: long non-coding RNA, 1121 nt
Filed under: Rattus norvegicus (Norway rat)
Lineage: Eukaryota; Metazoa; Chordata; Mammalia; Rodentia; Muridae
Description: long non-coding RNA NONRATT012018
Source: RNAcentral
AAAUUAAGCCCAAGACCCCCUCUUUCACAUUUGAACAUCUGCUUUACAAGAUAGACAGUGAAGAAACUCAAUUACACCCCAUGAGAUGUGGAUUAACAGAUGAAGAAAUAGCAGGGCAAGUGAGACUUCAAGAAAAUGAUAAGUCCACUCUAAUGCAAAGCAUCUAUGGGUCAUGGUGGUCUCAUGGAUUGUAUAUUAAACUGGCAUUGGUUAUAGACCAUGAACAAUUCCUUUAUCGGAAAAGUAACACUUCUCUUGUGUUAAAAGAUGUAUUCAACAUUAUGAAUGGGAUAAAUCUCUCCUUACUUUCAGUUGAUAUUAAUGUGGCUUUACUUGGUCUUACUAUUUGGACUCAACGAAAUCCCAUACCAGUGCAAGACAUAUAUACUCUCUUGCCAGCAUUUUGUUUGUGGAAGACAAUGAACUUUAAUUCUCAGAUGGCAUAUGAUAUUGCACAUCUCUUCGUGAAUUAUACUUUUGGUGACUAUUUUGGCAUAGCCUUUGUGGGAACUGUAUGCAAUAAGACAUUUGGUUGUGGAGUUGAUAGGCUCUUUGGAGACAAUUUCCUUACCAUUGGACAUAUUGUGGCCCACGAGAUAGGUCACAAUUUGGGCAUGCCACAUGAUGGGAUACUUUGUUCUUGUGGAGAGGGACCAUGUUUGAUGUCUGCUACAAUGGAGAGUUCCAAAAAACUCAGCAACUGUAGUUACGAAUUCUUGUGGGCCAACAUAGCCAAAAAAAGCUGCCUACAGAGGGAGCCCAGCUCUUCAGAUAUCUUCCCAAUGAAGAUCUGUGGGAACGGUGUAGUUGAUGAUGGCGAGGAGUGUGACUGUGGAUCUCAAAGCUGUGGACGUAAUAGUAGGUGUUGUCUGCCUACCUGUAUUCUGAAGUCUGGAGCUAAAUGUGCUUCUGGACUAUGCUGUAACUUCAAAUGCCAAAUUCAGCCAUCUGGCACUCUGUGUAGAACGAAGGAGAAUGAAUGUGAUCUUCCAGAAUGGUGCAAUGGGACUUCAAAGGAGUGCCCUGAGGAUACAUUUGUACAGGCUGGGACUUCUUGCCUUGGUAAUGGCUACUGCUAUGAAAAAAGAUGUAAUAGCCAUGACGACCACUGCAAGAGAGUU